Dermacentor silvarum is the source of this 409-nucleotide long non-coding RNA. RefSeq lists it as uncharacterized. The record is from RefSeq and is a predicted model, not a curated record. NCBI's taxonomy places the organism in Eukaryota, Metazoa, Arthropoda, Arachnida, Ixodida, Ixodidae. The transcript has 3 exons.
ACAUGACAGCGCACUUCCGGUCACUUCGCAUGGUUCUUAAGUAGGCAGUCUCCAUCACGAGCGACUAGAAGCUAAAAAAAGUUGUGUAAGGUAUCGCGCUGACGCUAAUUUUAACUCGGAACAGACGCUACUUCGAACUAAGGUUUAGCUUUUCUACCUUGCGAUGGCUGCACCCAAAGUUCUGAUCUUCGUCGUUAUUGUGUUUGCUGUCAUGUUGAUCAAGGACAGCUACACGGCUGGCAGUGACGGGUGGCCUACAUGUCAAGGGCAGUUGUGUACCUUCGACACCUUCGGAACAAGUUCCUGUCCCCCUGGGUGCCGCUGCAUUGUGAACGUCACCAAGGGAACCACACGCCAAGGCUUCUGCUACCAAUAAUGAAGUCAUAGCAUGUGCUGCUUUUGAACUAAA